UUGAGCCGUGUGCGGUGAAAGUCGCACGCACGGUUCUUAGGGGACGGGAUGACCGUAAGGUUACCCUGCUACCCGAC
This is a non-coding RNA of Thioflavicoccus mobilis 8321, 77 nucleotides long. The record is from Rfam. Lineage: Bacteria; Pseudomonadati; Pseudomonadota; Gammaproteobacteria; Chromatiales; Chromatiaceae.